RNAcentral lists this long non-coding RNA (397 nucleotides) under Gossypium barbadense (sea-island cotton). RNAcentral describes it as "long non-coding RNA (GBAR_LNC012878)". The record is from RNAcentral. Lineage: Eukaryota; Viridiplantae; Streptophyta; Magnoliopsida; Malvales; Malvaceae.
UUUCUUGUUCCAGAACCUGUUGCACCCUUGUCAGCUACCCUUGAUGGCUUGUAUUUGUUUGCUGGUGGCCUUUCAGGUUCUGUACAUGCUCUCUCAGUUCCUUCAGGGGAGAUACUCGCAUCAUAUUCAGCACAUAACAAGCCUGUUUCCUGCCUCAAAAUAAGUGAAGAUGGGUCACUAUUGAUAUCUGGUGGUGAUGAUGGUACAAUUUCUUUUGUUCCAAUCUUUCAAAUCAUCGAGGCAUCACCUGAUAAGAGCUCCACCAGCUUGAUGUUGCAGAGAUUUGUUGCACAUGAUGGCUCAGUGACAGCAAUAGACUCUAUUAUGGCACAGUGCAACUCUACCAUAAUAUCAAGCUCGUUGGAUUGCACGAUUAAGAUUUGGGGAUUGUUGGAUG